Molecule: non-coding RNA, 265 nt
Organism: Paramuricea clavata
Lineage: Eukaryota; Metazoa; Cnidaria; Anthozoa; Malacalcyonacea; Plexauridae
Source: the annotation of a GenBank genome assembly
GUCAUGAUGUAACAAUAUUGUUACAACCUUGUAUGGUUAACCUCGUAACAUUCUUGUUAUAUCAUGACCGUAUCAGACUUGUUAGAACAACCUUGUAACAAGUCUGAUAAUUCCAUCAAGCUUGUUGUUAACAGCUUGUAACAAGCUUGUUGAAAUUGUCAGACUUGUUGCAAGGUUGUUCCAACAAAUCCGAUACAGUUAUAAUAUAACAAUAUUGUUACAACCUUGUGCCAUCAAACUUGUAACAUUCUUGUUAUAUCAUGAC